CUUCUUUUGUAAGGGAAUAAAGAGUCUUACGAGCUAAGACGUUGCAGGUACCUUACGAAUAAGGAUCGGCUAACUCCGUGCCAGCAGCCGCGGUAAUACGGAGGAUCCGAGCGUUAUCCGGAUUUAUUGGGUUUAAAGGGUGCGCAGGCGGCAUGUUAAGUCGGCGGUGAAAUUUUGCAGCUCAACUGUAAAAGAGCCUUCGAAACUGGCAAGCUUGAGUGUGGAUGAAGUAGGCGGAAUUUGUGGUGUAGCGGUGAAAUGCAUAGAUAUCACAAAGAACACCGAUUGCGCAGGCAGCUUACUAAACCAUAACUGACGCUCAUGCACGAAGGCGUGGGGAUCAAACAGGAUUAGAUACCCUGGUAGUCCACGCAGUAAACGAUGAUUACUGGCUGUUUGCGAUACAAUGUAAGCGGCUGAGCGAAAGCGUUAAGUAAUCCACCUGGGGAGUACGUUCGCAAGAAUGAAACUCAAAGGAAUUGACGGGGGCCCGCACAAGCGGAGGAACAUGUGGUUUAAUUCGAUGAUACGCGAGGAACCUUACCCGGGCUUGAAAUGCAUCUGACGUAUUUGGAAACAGAUAUUCCCUACGGGGCAGAUGUGUAGGUGCUGCAUGGUUGUCGUCAGCUCGUGCCGUGAGGUGUCGGCUUAAGUGCCAUAACGAGCGCAACCCUCAUCGUCAGUUACCAUCAGGUAAAGCUGGGGACUCUGGCGAGACUGCCAUC
RNAcentral lists this ribosomal RNA (725 nucleotides) under Proteiniphilum saccharofermentans. Its description in RNAcentral is "bacterial SSU rRNA". It matches the Rfam family "Bacterial small subunit ribosomal RNA", at positions 430 to 1156 of the family's 1533-position model. Lineage: Bacteria; Pseudomonadati; Bacteroidota; Bacteroidia; Bacteroidales; Dysgonomonadaceae. The record is from RNAcentral.